This 252-nucleotide ribosomal RNA is filed under the name uncultured bacterium. RNAcentral describes it as "partial 16S ribosomal RNA". It matches the Rfam family "Bacterial small subunit ribosomal RNA", at positions 524 to 776 of the family's 1533-position model. The record is from RNAcentral.
UACGAGGGGACUAGCGUUGUUCGGAAUCACUGGGCGUAAAGCGCACGUAGGCGGAUUCGUAAGUUAGGGGUGAAAUCCCGGGGCUCAACCUCGGAACUGCCUUUGAUACUGCGGGUCUCGAGUCCGAUAGAGGUGGGUGGAAUUCCUAGUGUAGAGGUGAAAUUCGUAGAUAUUAGGAAGAACACCGGUGGCGAAGGCGGCCCACUGGAUCGGCACUGACGCUGAGGUGCGAAAGCGUGGGGAGCAAACAGG